This 382-nucleotide ribosomal RNA is filed under the name uncultured eukaryote. Its description in RNAcentral is "SSU rRNA". It matches the Rfam family "Eukaryotic small subunit ribosomal RNA", at positions 587 to 972 of the family's 1831-position model. The record is from RNAcentral.
AGCUUUAAUAGUAUAUAUUAAAGUUGUUGCAGUUAAAAAAAUUGUAGUUGGAUUUCUGGAUGGGCAUGUGGGUCCGCUCUUACGAGUGUGCACCAUACAUAUCUGGAUAUCCUUUGGGAAAGCCACAGUGGCAUUAAGUUGUUAGUGUAGGGAUCCCAAUCCUUUACUGUGAAUAAAUUAGAGUGUUCAAAGCAGGAUUAGGCGGUUGACUGUAUUAGAAUGGAAUAAUAACAUAGGACUAUUGUACUAUUUUGUUGGUUUGCGCACAAUAUUAAUGAUUAACAGGGACAGUUGGGGGUAUUUGUAUUCCAUUGUCAGUGGUAAAAUUUGUGGACUUUUUGAAGACAAACUAGUACAAAAGCAUUUACCAAAGAUGUUUUCA